UCAGGAUGAACGCUAGCGGCAGGCUUAACACAUGCAAGUCGAGGGCAGCGCGGGGUAGCAAUACUCUGGCGGCGACCGGCGGAAGGGUGCGUAACGCGUGAGCAACAUGCCCGUAUGAGGGGGAUAAGCACUGGAAACGGUGUCUAAUACCCCGUAACACUUUGGACCGCAUGAUCCGAAGUUAAAAGAUUUAUCGCAUACGGAUUGGCUCGCGUGACAUUAGCUAGUUGGCGGGGUAACGGCCCACCAAGGCGACGAUGUCUAGGGGUUCUGAGAGGAAGGUCCCCCACACUGGAACUGAGACACGGUCCAGACUCCUACGGGAGGCAGCAGUGAGGAAUAUUGGUCAAUGGGCGGAAGCCUGAACCAGCCAUGCCGCGUGAAAAGGAAUAAGGCCCUAUGGGUCGUAAACUUCUUUUGACGGGGAGCAAUAAGGGCGUCGAGCACGUCCGAUGAGAGUACUCGUCGAAUAAGCAUCGGCUAACUCCGUGCCAGCCGCCGC
RNAcentral lists this ribosomal RNA (502 nucleotides) under uncultured bacterium. RNAcentral's name for it is "bacterial SSU rRNA". It matches the Rfam family "Bacterial small subunit ribosomal RNA", at positions 24 to 518 of the family's 1533-position model. The record is from RNAcentral.